GACAGAGGUGCCGAGCGUUAGGCGGAAUCACUGGGCUUAAAGCGUGUGUAGGCGGGCGGGCAAGUAUCUUGUGAAAUCCCACGGCUCAACCGUGGAACUGCUGGGUAUACUGCCUGUCUUGAGCCAGCUAGGGGCGGUCGGAAUAGACGGUGGAGCGGUGAAAUGCGUAGAUAUCGUCUGGAACGCCAAAGGUGAAAACAGACCGCUGGGGCUGUGCUGACGCUGAGACACGAAAGCCAGGGGAGCGAACGGG
This 253-nucleotide ribosomal RNA is filed under the name uncultured bacterium. RNAcentral describes it as "partial 16S ribosomal RNA". It matches the Rfam family "Bacterial small subunit ribosomal RNA", at positions 524 to 776 of the family's 1533-position model. The record is from RNAcentral.